This 497-nucleotide ribosomal RNA is filed under the name uncultured bacterium. Its description in RNAcentral is "partial 16S ribosomal RNA". It matches the Rfam family "Bacterial small subunit ribosomal RNA", at positions 28 to 507 of the family's 1533-position model. The record is from RNAcentral.
GAUGAACGCUGGCGGCGUGCUUAACACAUGCAAGUCGAACGGCAGCACGGCGACCUUUUUUUUUUGGGUGGAGAGGGGCGAACGGGUGAGUAAUAUCGCGAAACGUCCCGAGUCAUGGGGGAUAACUCAGCGAAAGAUUAUCUAUAACCGCGUAUUCUCUGAGGCGGAAAGCUGAUGACUUUCGGGCCUUGCUUUAUUCGCUCGGCGAUUGUCUGACUCGGUAUUAGCUGGUUGGUGGGGUUACGGCAUACCAAGGCAGCGAUGAGUAGGCGACGUGAGAGGAUGAUCGGCCACACUGGGACUGAGACGCGGCCCAGACGACUACGGGAGGCAGCAGUAGGGAAUAUUAGGCAAUGGGCGGAAGCCGGAUGCAGCAACGCCGCGUGGGUGAAGAGGGCCUUCGGGUGGUAAAGAACUUUUGUCAGGGAAGAAAAGGGUGUUGCUAAUAUGUGCAGGUGUUGACGGUACCUGAAGAAGAAGCACCGGCUAACUACGUG